UACGUAGGGUGCAAGCGUUGUCCGGAAUUAUUGGGCGUAAAGAGCUCGUAGGCGGUCUGUCGCGUCGGUCGUGAGAACUUGGGGCUUAACCCUGAGCUUGCGGUCGAUACGGGCAUGACUGGAGUUCGGUAGGGGAGACUGGAAUUCCUGGUGUAGCGGUGAAAUGCGCAGAUAUCAGGAGGAACACCGGUGGCGAAGGCGGAUCUCUGGGCCUGUCCUGACGCUCAGGCGCGAAAGCUAGGGGAGCAAACAGG
This 254-nucleotide ribosomal RNA is filed under the name uncultured bacterium. RNAcentral describes it as "partial 16S ribosomal RNA". It matches the Rfam family "Bacterial small subunit ribosomal RNA", at positions 524 to 776 of the family's 1533-position model. The record is from RNAcentral.